AUUGAACGCUGGCGGCAUGCUUUACACAUGCAAGUCGAACGGUAACAGGCCUUCGGGUGCUGACGAGUGGCGAACGGGUGAGUAAUGCAUCGGAACGUGCCCAAUCGUGGGGGAUAACGUAGCGAAAGUUACGCUAAUACCGCAUAAGCCCUGAGGGGGAAAGUGGGGGACCGUAAGGCCUCGCGCUACCGGAGCGGCCGAUGUCAGAUUAGCUAGUUGGUGGGGUAAGAGCCUACCAAGGCGACGAUCUGUAGCUGGUCUGAGAGGACGACCAGCCACACUGGGACUGAGACACGGCCCAGACUCCUACGGGAGGCAGCAGUGGGGAAUUUUGGACAAUGGGCGCAAGCCUGAUCCAGCCAUGCCGCGUGCGGGAAGAAGGCCU
Molecule: ribosomal RNA, 385 nt
Filed under: uncultured bacterium
Lineage: Bacteria
Description: bacterial SSU rRNA
Rfam family: Bacterial small subunit ribosomal RNA
Source: RNAcentral